This is a long non-coding RNA of Loxodonta africana (African savanna elephant), 2058 nucleotides long. RefSeq lists it as uncharacterized. NCBI's taxonomy places the organism in Eukaryota, Metazoa, Chordata, Mammalia, Proboscidea, Elephantidae. The transcript has 4 exons. The record is from RefSeq and is a predicted model, not a curated record.
CAGCCAGUUACUCCCGGAAGUGCUGGGACGGGUGGUGAGGGGCCCGGGCAGGUGGCGCGCCUUACAGCGGACGGUGUUCGUGCUGCUUUCUGUGCUGUAUUUUCUGAAAGCUUAAAUACAGACCAGAAGAGGAGUUUGGGGCUUGACACCUGACAUCUUAACACCAGUUCCUGUUUCUUGAGGAAGGAAGAGGUAAAAUAAAUCAGCGUUUACUGUGUAGUUCUCCAUCCCCAGAAGUCCUGAUGAAGACCCUCUCAGCUUCUACUUGAACGUGAAUAUGAGCAACUGAUCAUCUGUUCUGCAGUCAGCCCCUGGCCUGAUUCUGACUCAUGGUAUUGACCUUCUCCAUCAUCACCUUCCACAAAUUUGAUUCCUAUCUAUUCUGCCUGGAAUGGUUCACGAGUAUAAUCACCAUUUAUGUUCCUGACGAAAGCAGGUGAAGACAUUCGUUGAGAGAGGCAAUUUCCAUGCGUGCAGGCAAAGUGUGUGCUGAGAUGAUGAGUUGCUGGAGACCAGGGUGGACUCUUCAGACCCAGAAUAGGCCUCUGGCCGGUAUGUGUCAAUGUUUUCUGCCCAUGGCACUCACCCGGGUAUUUGCAUAGAAUGUUAUCAGCGGAAUUAGUAGUCUCCGGAGAGGCUGCCCCGUGUCAGCAAGCUUCACCUGGCCAGGGUCCACCCGUGAUGUAGCUCCCCAAUCAAUGACUACUCUCUAGACCUUCCAGAUAGACUAGCAGAUCUUCUCUGCCCAUGGGCAACCAGUAGAGCCAGAGGCCUUCUCCCUUUGCUCUUUCGUCUCUAGGCAUUCUAUCAGGCACUCCAAGCUGUGAAGUGCAUGGGGGGAGAAAGAAGAGAUUUCAGAGAAUGAACACAUACAGAGAGAGAGGCAAGAGAUGGUGAGUGGGGAUGUCUUGCAUACUGAUAUCCUGAGGAAAGUGGGAAAAUUGGACCCUGGCUUGCUCUGCCAAUGCCGUGAAGCAGUCCGCACCAGGGGCUCCCUUGUGCCUGCAUAGCCUUUCCCAGGGUGUGCUCAAAUCCUUUGGCCACUAGGUGUCCUAGGUCACAAUGGAGGACCCUGUGUCAUCUGCCUGGUGGACUGGAUCUCUGCCAUUGGCUAAGUCUUGUCACCAGGCCCAUCAUAAGCUCUGCCCACUCUUCCGGUGGGGAGACUCUCUCCAUGGUGAUGGCAAAGAAACCUUAGUCCCGCCCACCUGGCCUUGACUUCACCUACCUGGCCUGCUGACCCUCACCCAGACCUCUGUGUGGAUGAAAAUGAAUGUCCACCAGUGGCCCAGUGUCAGCGUCUGGUAUAAAGGAUUCGGGACGUUUCCUGAGGCAGAAGGCAGCCUACGUCUGCGGGUACCUGGAAGUCUAGUGACUUGUGAUGCUGCUGCCAGUGAGAAAUGGUGACUCCCACACUCACAUAUCCCCUGGUGGCAGAAUGAUAGUGAUGGGUGGAGAAACAUGGCUCCGGAGCACAUGUUCAGUGGGGCACCGGCCAAAUGUCAGGGCCAGGAGUGGACGUCGUGGAGCUGCAUGGCGUGCCAGUGAAGGGCCCAAGGAUUUCUCCAAUGAGGCAAAAUGCAGAUCAAGCCAAGGAACACAAAGAUAAAGCAGCUGAAGAAAUUAAAAAGGUUACUCAAGAACAUAGUUAAAAAUUUAAUAAGCUGCAAGAAACCAUAGAGAGACUGCAAUCAGAGAUUCAGAAGAUUAACAAUAAAAUUACAGAGUCAGAAAACUCAAUAGAAAGUAAUAAGAGCACAAUUGAGGAAUUGGAAGGCAGAAUUACUGAGAUGGAAGAUCAAACUCUUGGGACUAAUAUAUUUGAAGAGAAAGCAGAUAAAAGAAUUUUAAAUGAAGAAAUCCAAAGAAUCAUGUGGGACUUUAUCAAGAGAAAUAACUAUGAGUGAUUUCAGUACCAGAACAGGGAGGGCUAACAGAAAAUACAGAGGGAACUGUUGAAGAUUUGUUGGCAGAACUUCCCUGAUAUCAUGAAAGAUGCUCAUCGAAUUCCACAUACGGUAGAUCUCAAAAGAAAGUGACCGAGACACAGAAUAAUCA